GACGAACGCUGGCGGCGUGCUUAACACAUGCAAGUCGAACGGUGAAGCGCCUUCCUUUUUGGUGGGUGUGGAUGAGUGGCGAACGGGUGAGUAACACGUGAGUAACCUGCCCCCUUCUUCUGGAUAACCGCAUGAAAGUGUGGCUAAUACGGGAUAUUCUGGGUCUGUCGCAUGAUGGGUCUGGGAAAGAUAUUGUUUCGGUGGGGGAUGGGCUCGCGGCCUAUCAGCUUGUUGGUGGGGGGAUGGCCUACCAAGGCGGUGACGGGUAGCCGGCCUGAGAGGGUGGACGGUCACACGGGGACUGAGACACGGCCAAGACUCCUACGGGAGGCAGCAGGGGGGAAUAUUGCACAAUGGGCGCAAGCCUGAUGCAGCGACGCCGCGUGAGGGAUGGAGGCCUUCGGGUUGUGAACCUCUUUCGCCAGUGAAGCAGGCCUGCCUCGUUUGUGGGUGGGUUGACGGUAGCUGGAUAAGAAGCGCCGGCUAACUACGUG
This 494-nucleotide ribosomal RNA is filed under the name uncultured bacterium. RNAcentral describes it as "partial 16S ribosomal RNA". It matches the Rfam family "Bacterial small subunit ribosomal RNA", at positions 28 to 507 of the family's 1533-position model. The record is from RNAcentral.